GGGUUUGAUCCUGGCUCAGGAUGAACGCUGGCGGCGUGCUUGACACAUGCAAGUCGAACGGGCGAGCUAGGCCCAGGCGGUUCGGAAGUGGCAGAGUGGGUGAAAAUCUACAAAGGCAUGGAAGGGCAAGAAGGGUCGGUGCUUGUCAGUGGCGGACGGGUGAGUAACACGUAGGUAAUCUGCCCCGGAGUGGGGAACAACUGUUCGAAAGGGCAGCUAAUUCCGCAUGUGGUCCGCGAGGAAGAAAGGGCUUCGGCCCGCUCUGGGAUGAGCCUGCGGCCGAUUAGCUAGUUGGUGGGGUAAAGGCUCACCAAGGCGACAAUCGGUAGCUGGUCUGAGAGGAUGAUCAGCCACACUGGAACUGAGACACGGUCCAGACUCCUACGGGAGGCAGCAGUGAGGAAUAUUGCACAAUAGGGGAAACCCUGAUGCAGCAACGCCGCGUGAGCGAUGAAGGCCUUCGGGUUGUAAAGCUCUUUUCUACGGGAAGAGGAAGGACGGUACCGUAGGAAUAAGCCUCGGCUAACUACGUGCCAGCAGCCGCGGUAAAACGUAGGAGGCGAGCGUUAUCCGGAAUCACUGGGCGUAAAGGGCAAGUAGGCGGUAGCCAAAGUUGGGCGUGACAGGUCUCGGCUUAACUGAGAAAGGUCGCUCAAAACUAGGCAACUAGAGAGCAGGAGAGGGAGGCGGAACUCCUAAUGUAGCAGUGGAAUGCUUAGAUAUUAGGAGGAACACCAGUGGCGAAGGCGGCCUUCUGGCCUGACUCUGACGCUGAGAGGCGAAAGCUAGGGUAGCAAACGGGCUUAGAUACCCCGGUAGUCCUAGCUGUAAACGGUGGAUACUAGGUAAUGGGGGUGUAAACUCCCUCAGUGCCGAAGCCAACGCGUUAAGUAUCCCGCCUGGGGACUACGACCGCAAGGUUAAAACUCAAAGGAAUUGACGGGGACCCGCACAAGCAGCGGAGCGUGUGGUUUAAUUCGAUGUUACACGAAGAACCUUACCUGGGCUUGACAUGUACGUAGUAGCGAAGCGAAAGCGGAGCGACCCUUCGGGGAGCGUACACAGGUGCUGCAUGGCUGUCGUCAGCUCGUGCCGUGAGGUGUUGGGUUAAGUCCUACAACGAGCGCAACCCUCGUUGCCAGUUAGAGCUGUCUGGCGAGACUGCCGGCAUAUAACCGGAGGAAGGUGGGGAUGACGUCAAGUCAGUAUGGCCUUUAUGUCCAGGGCUACACACACGCUACAAUGGUCGGUACAGAGGGCAGCAAAGCCGCGAGGUGGAGCUAAUCCCACAAAGCCGAUCUCAGUUCAGAUUGCAGGCUGCAACCCGCCUGCAUGAAGUUGGAGUUGCUAGUAACCGCAGGUCAGCAAUACUGCGGUGAAUACGUUCCCGGGUCUUGUACACACCGCCCGUCACGUCAUGGAAGCUGGCAACACCUGAAGUCGGUGAGCCGACCGCAAGGGGGCAACCGCCGAAGGUGGGGCUAGUGACUGGGACGAAGUCGUAACAAGGUA
This 1512-nucleotide ribosomal RNA is filed under the name metagenome. Its description in RNAcentral is "bacterial SSU rRNA". It matches the Rfam family "Bacterial small subunit ribosomal RNA". The record is from RNAcentral.